RNAcentral lists this long non-coding RNA (1160 nucleotides) under Chlamydomonas reinhardtii. RNAcentral's name for it is "long non-coding RNA (CREI_LNC000154)". Lineage: Eukaryota; Viridiplantae; Chlorophyta; Chlorophyceae; Chlamydomonadales; Chlamydomonadaceae. The record is from RNAcentral.
UCCUGCAGAGUUUGUUGUGGCACAAAUCCGGCAUGGUCCUGGGCCAAGUACAAGCAGGGGAGGAUUACAAGGUCUUUCCGGGCUUAACGUAAUCGUAGCAGGGAGACUACCCAACACCGCGAUGUCAUACCUUAGUGAGCGGAAGCCGAGAAGGAGUCUUCGGACGAGGGAGAGACGACACGACCUUGGAGGGAUUUGCUUGUAGGUGUCGUCGCUGACAGCCAACAGCUUUGACGUGCAAUAGUUAACCUAACACGAUUCGCGCGACACCGGGGUGCUGAGGCCGUCCCUGAGACUGCCAAUGGCUACAUGUCCCCGGACACGAAAUGUGGUUUCCCCUCGCAAGGGAAAAGUGGGCUGAGCUCACGCCACGUCUCUAGUCUGAGGCCGCAAGCGUCUACCUCAUCUCCCGGACAUAGCCAGGGUUAGUUCGUACAGGCACGGCACGCCUUGUGUCAGCUGCGUCCCACUUUGUCCCCUGAUGUCCCCGGCAAAGCGUCGACCCCCGUUCAAAUGCUCAGUCAGCCAGCGUAAUACGUCCGUUAGCACAAGACACAUGCCGCAUGCGCAUUAAUCGAUACCGCGCAUUAUGUACCAGCACCGUUUUUAAUGUUGCCCAACGCCCAUGUCAAUCCUACGGGCGGCGGUGCACAGUUGGCACCUUUCUCCAGUCAGCCGGCCGAGCUUAUACCACUAUCCCGUCACGCUCUAGCUGCUUCUAGUUUGCAAGCGCUGUCUAUCAGAAAACUCCUCACGUAAGCGCAAAUGCAGAACUCCCCACAUUGGCACAGCUGGUAAUCACAUGGCCAGCUUGGUGCCGGCAAGGAGCUUCAACCCCGGCCCUAGUGCCUAGCUAUGCCAUGCUAACCCUUUCAAUAUAUCUGAUAAGUGCCAGGUGCCAGCAAGUGCACAUUGACAAAAGCUGUGACAAAGCCUGCUGGUGACAAAGGUCGAAGUUAUAUCCAUUGGUUUGCUCCAUUAGCGUUAAAGCAUCACCCGGUGGAUCUGCGGCAGAAACUACCGCAAAUGUGAACCGCGGCACGGCGGGCACGCGGGCCAAAACGCGUUUUUGCCGUCGCGGAUCGUGCGCACGCCAUUGAAUUGUGCAAAUAAAAAGCAGUAACAUACAUCAAAAUAUUGCGUCAACUUCCAAAACAAAC